RNAcentral lists this unclassified non-coding RNA (210 nucleotides) under Hevea brasiliensis (rubber tree). Lineage: Eukaryota; Viridiplantae; Streptophyta; Magnoliopsida; Malpighiales; Euphorbiaceae. The record is from RNAcentral.
AAGGAUUCCGUGGAGCUUGGUAUACUGGAACUAUCAUUGAGCCAGUUGGGGAGAAAUUCCUCAUAGAGUACGAUCAUUUGAGGUCAGAUGAUGAUACUGAGCUUCUGAAGGAAACCAUAGAUCCUCUCUACAUUAGGCCUAUUCCUCCAGCAACACCUGUAAAUGAGAAGUUCAAGAAGCUUGAAGAAGUUGAUGCUCUCUACAAUGACG